RNAcentral lists this ribosomal RNA (282 nucleotides) under Enterobacter hormaechei subsp. steigerwaltii. RNAcentral's name for it is "partial 23S ribosomal RNA". It matches the Rfam family "Bacterial large subunit ribosomal RNA", at positions 2261 to 2542 of the family's 2925-position model. Lineage: Bacteria; Pseudomonadati; Pseudomonadota; Gammaproteobacteria; Enterobacterales; Enterobacteriaceae. The record is from RNAcentral.
GUGGGUAGUUUGACUGGGGCGGUCUCCUCCCAAAGAGUAACGGAGGAGCACGAAGGUUGGCUAAUCCUGGUCGGACAUCAGGAGGUUAGUGCAAUGGCAUAAGCCAGCUUGACUGCGAGCGUGACGGCGCGAGCAGGUGCGAAAGCAGGUCAUAGUGAUCCGGUGGUUCUGAAUGGAAGGGCCAUCGCUCAACGGAUAAAAGGUACUCCGGGGAUAACAGGCUGAUACCGCCCAAGAGUUCAUAUCGACGGCGGUGUUUGGCACCUCGAUGUCGGCUCAUCA